UAGAUACCCCGGUAGUCCACGCCCUAAACGAUGCGAACUGGAUGUUGGGUACAUUACGGUACUCAGUGUCGAAGCUAACGCGUUAAGUUCGCCGCCUGGGGAGUACGGUCGCAAGACUGAAACUCAAAGGAAUUGACGGGGGCCCGCACAAGCGGUGGAGUAUGUGGUUUAAUUCGAUGCAACGCGAAGAACCUUACCUGGCCUUGACAUCUGUCGAAUCCUGCAGAGAUGCGGGAGUGCCGCAAGGAACGACAAGACAGGUGCUGCAUGGCUGUCGUCAGCUCGUGUCGUGAGAUGUUGGGUUAAGUCCCGCAACGAGCGCAACCCUUGUCCCUAGUUGCCAGCACGUAAUGGUGGGAACUCUAGGGAGACUGCCGGUGACAAACCGGAGGAAGGUGGGGAUGACGUCAAGUCCUCAUGGCCCUUACGGCCAGGGCUACACACGUACUACAAUGGUCGGUACAGAGGGUUGCGAAGCCGCGAGGUGAAGCCAAUCCCAGAAAACCGAUCCCAGUCCGGAUUGGAGUCUGCAACUCGA
Molecule: ribosomal RNA, 538 nt
Filed under: uncultured bacterium
Lineage: Bacteria
Description: bacterial SSU rRNA
Rfam family: Bacterial small subunit ribosomal RNA
Source: RNAcentral